Molecule: ribosomal RNA, 253 nt
Filed under: uncultured bacterium
Lineage: Bacteria
Description: partial 16S ribosomal RNA
Rfam family: Bacterial small subunit ribosomal RNA
Source: RNAcentral
UACGAACCGUCCAAACGUUAUUCGGAAUUGCUGGGCUUAAAGGGUACGUAGGCGGCGCUGUUAGUCGGGUGUGAAAUCCCACGGCUCAACCGUGGAACUGCGCCCGAUACUGCAGUGCUUGAGGGAGACAGAGGUAAGCGGAACUGAUGGUGGAGCGGUGAAAUGCGUUGAUAUCAUCAGGAACACCGGUGGCGAAAGCGGCUUACUGGGUCUCUUCUGACGCUGAGGUACGAAAGCUAGGGGAGCGAAGGGG